UACAGAGGUCUCAAGCGUUGUUCGGAUUCAUUGGGCGUAAAGGGUGUGUAGGUGGCGCCGUAAGUCGGGUGUGAAAUUUCGGAGCUUAACUCCGAAACUGCAUUCGAUACUGCGGUGCUUGAGGACUGGAGAGGAGACUGGAAUUUACGGUGUAGCGGUGAAAUGCGUAGAUAUCGUAAGGAAGACCAGUGGCGAAGGCGGGUCUCUGGACAGUUCCUGACGCUGAGGCACGAAGGCCAGGGGGGCAAACGGG
RNAcentral lists this ribosomal RNA (253 nucleotides) under uncultured bacterium. RNAcentral's name for it is "partial 16S ribosomal RNA". It matches the Rfam family "Bacterial small subunit ribosomal RNA", at positions 524 to 776 of the family's 1533-position model. The record is from RNAcentral.